AUACGUAGGGUGCAAGCGUUGUCCGGAAUGAUUGGGCGUAAAGGGCGCGUAGGCGGCCCGGUAAGUCUGGAGUGAAAGUCCUGUUUUUAAGAUGGGAAUUGCUUUGGAUACUGUCGGGCUUGAGUGCAGGAGAGGUAAGUGGAAUUCCCAGUGUAGCGGUGAAAUGCGUAGAGAUUGGGAGGAACACCAGUGGCGAAGGCGACUUACUGGACUGUAACUGACGCUGAGGCGCGAAAGCGUGGGGAGCGAACAGGAUUAGAUACCCUGGUAGUCCACGCGGUAAACGAUGAAUGCUAGGUGUUGCGGGUAUCGACCCCUGCAGUGCCGGAGUAAACACAAUAAGCAUUCCGCCUGGGGAGUACGGCCGCAAGGUUGAAACUCAAAGGAAUUGGCGGGG
This 397-nucleotide ribosomal RNA is filed under the name uncultured bacterium. RNAcentral describes it as "partial 16S ribosomal RNA". It matches the Rfam family "Bacterial small subunit ribosomal RNA", at positions 523 to 918 of the family's 1533-position model. The record is from RNAcentral.